This 301-nucleotide ribosomal RNA is filed under the name uncultured bacterium. RNAcentral describes it as "partial 16S ribosomal RNA". It matches the Rfam family "Bacterial small subunit ribosomal RNA", at positions 509 to 809 of the family's 1533-position model. The record is from RNAcentral.
CAGCCGCCACGGGAAUACGUAGGUGGCAAGCGUUGUCCGGAAUUAUUGGGCGUAAAGGGCUCGCAGUCGUUUUCUUAAGUCUGAUGUGAAAGCCCCCGGCUCAACCGGGGAGGGUCAUUGGAAACUGGGAAACUUGAGUGCAGAAGAGGAGAGUGGAAUUCCACGUGUAGCGGUGAAAUGCGUAGAGAUGUGGAGGAACACCAGUGGCGAAGGCGACUCUCUGGUCUGUAACUGACGCUGAGGAGCGAAAGCGUGGGGAGCGAACAGGAUUAGAUACCCCAGUAGUCCCUGUCUCUUAUAA